GAACCCGGAAAAGACAACGGCUGACGGGAUAGUAUAUAGCGGGCCGGAACGCGCAAGGGCUGACGGGAUAGAGCGUACAGCGGGGCAGGCCGCAGUAACUUGCCCACGGUCACCCCAGCAUUUGGGCCCGUUUGGAUUUUUGCACCAGUUGGG
Sarcophilus harrisii (Tasmanian devil) is the source of this 153-nucleotide long non-coding RNA. RefSeq lists it as uncharacterized. NCBI's taxonomy places the organism in Eukaryota, Metazoa, Chordata, Mammalia, Dasyuromorphia, Dasyuridae. The transcript has 2 exons. The record is from RefSeq and is a predicted model, not a curated record.